CCUACGGGGGGCAGCAGUGAGGAAUAUUGGUCAAUGGACGAGAGUCUGAACCAGCCAAGUAGCGUGAAGGAUGACUGCCCUAUGGGUUGUAAACUUCUUUUAUAUGGGAAUAAAACGUUCCACGUGUGGGAUUUUGUAUGUACCAUAUGAAUAAGGAUCGGCUAACUCCGUGCCAGCAGCCGCGGUAAUACGGAGGAUCCGAGCGUUAUCCGGAUUUAUUGGGUUUAAAGGGAGCGUAGGUGGAUUGUUAAGUCAGUUGUGAAAGUUUGCGGCUCAACCGUAAAAUUGCAGUUGAAACUGGCAGUCUUGAGUACAGUAGAGGUGGGCGGAAUUCGAGGUGUAGCGGUGAAAUGCUUAGAUAUCACGAAGAACUCCGAUUGCGAAGGCAGUUCACUGGACUGCAACUGACACUGAGGCUCGAAAGUGUGGGUAUCAAACAGGAUUAGAUACCCCUGUAGUC
Molecule: ribosomal RNA, 460 nt
Filed under: uncultured bacterium
Lineage: Bacteria
Description: partial 16S ribosomal RNA
Rfam family: Bacterial small subunit ribosomal RNA
Source: RNAcentral